GCGAGAGUGGCGGAAUUGGCAGACGCGCUGGACUUAGGAUCCAGUGGGGCAACCCGUGCAGGUUCGAUUCCUGUCUCUCGCACC
Molecule: transfer RNA, 84 nt
Filed under: Caulifigura coniformis
Lineage: Bacteria; Pseudomonadati; Planctomycetota; Planctomycetia; Planctomycetales; Planctomycetaceae
Description: Planctomycetes bacterium Pan44 tRNA-Leu
Rfam family: tRNA
About the family: Transfer RNA (tRNA) molecules are approximately 80 nucleotides in length.
Source: RNAcentral